Podarcis lilfordi (Lilford's wall lizard) is the source of this 71-nucleotide non-coding RNA. NCBI's taxonomy places the organism in Eukaryota, Metazoa, Chordata, Lepidosauria, Squamata, Lacertidae. The record is from the annotation of a GenBank genome assembly.
GGGUAGCUCAGUUGGUUGGAGCGUGGAACUGAUAAAUGCCAAGGUUGCAGGUUUGAUCCCCGUAAGGAACA